RNAcentral lists this ribosomal RNA (492 nucleotides) under uncultured bacterium. RNAcentral's name for it is "partial 16S ribosomal RNA". It matches the Rfam family "Bacterial small subunit ribosomal RNA", at positions 29 to 507 of the family's 1533-position model. The record is from RNAcentral.
AGUGAACGCUGGCGGUAGGCCUAACACAUGCAAGUCGAACGGCAGCACAGUAAGAGCUUGCUCUUACGGGUGGCGAGUGGCGGACGGGUGAGGAAUACAUCGGAAUCUACUUUUUCGUGGGGGAUAACGUAGGGAAACUUACGCUAAUACCGCAUACGACCUACGGGUGAAAGCAGGGGAUCUUCGGACCUUGCGCGAUUGAAUGAGCCGAUGUCGGAUUAGCUAGUUGGCGGGGUAAAGGCCCACCAAGGCGACGAUCCGUAGCUGGUCUGAGAGGAUGAUCAGCCACACUGGAACUGAGACACGGUCCAGACUCCUACGGGAGGCAGCAGUGGGGAAUAUUAGACAAUGGGCGCAAGCCUGAUCCAGCCAUACCGCGUGGGUGAAGAAGGCCUUCGGGUUGUAAAGUCCUUUUGUUGGGAAAGAAAAGCAGCAGGUUAAUACCCCGCUGUUCUGACGGUACCCAAAGAAUAAGCACCGGCUAACUUCGUG